This 4096-nucleotide long non-coding RNA is filed under the name Sus scrofa (pig). Its description in RNAcentral is "lncRNA (ENSSSCG00030016580.1)". Lineage: Eukaryota; Metazoa; Chordata; Mammalia; Artiodactyla; Suidae. The record is from RNAcentral.
ACAUUUAAAAUUGAUAUAUUUUAAUUACUAAUUUUCAAAUCUGAAACACUUUGAGGUAAAAAUAAGAUGUAGAAAUGCCCACACUAAAUCAGCCCAGCAUUUGCACUGGAAGGACUUUAGACAAGGUAACAGAAUCCAUGAACAUUUAUCAUCUCUGAUAAAAGUAACCCAGGGCAUCAGUUGCUCAAAAUUUACUUCCUCAUCUCAAAGAUGAAGUCUGACUAGGCAACAUCUAAAUUCUCCAGAGUCAAAGAUAGGAUCUGGGCUUUUACCCCCUUUUUCUGUAGGUACUAAAAGAAAAUUGUGCCAGAAAAUACAAAAGGAAUAGUCAGAAACGCUGGAAAAAAGGUUGAAACAUAUUAUUGUCACAAGGCCAAAAAGAACAACAGUAAAUAAGGGGGCUUUCAAUAGUGCCAAGUAAUAAUAAUAAUCAACACACUUUGUAGUAUUUUACAGUUUCCAAAUAUUUUUCGUACAUUAAAAUUUGUCACAGAUAUUCCCUGGUGGCCUAGAGUUUAAGGAAUAGGCAUUGUCACUGCUGUGGUUUGGGUUAUUGUUGUGGCAUGGGUUUGAUCCCUGGCCUGGAAGUUCUGCAUGGUGCAGUUGCAGCCAAAAUACAUACAUACAUAUAUAUAUAUAAAACCAAUGAAAACUCCAUGAUGGAAACAGAACUGAGAUUUAUUUUCAUCUUUUAUGAAUUAUAAAGUCAAGAUUAAGCAAGAUUAGGUCAAAGACACAAAAAUGUGUACAGGAAAAUCUAAAACAUAAAAUAUUUUUGCUCCACAGUCAAGUUACAAGCCUAGCUUCUGAUGUGGGUGGUCUACAAUCAAAUCUCAGGCCACUGGGUAUUUCCAGACCCUUUGACCACCCUGGGCUUCAAGAUGCUUAUAAACUUGAAUAAACUUAAAAAAGACUUGAGGUAAGCAUUUAAAAGCCAGAUAUAUAUGUGAAGCACUUAAAGACAACUGCCUGGCAUUCAAUAAUAUGUUAGUGGCCAUAUUACAUUCAAUAAAGUAACCAGUAGAUGGCAAAUACAGCCACAGCAUCACUGCCUCAGUUUACCUUCCCUUUACAGAGCUCUACAGGAGUUGAAUAGACCAAAGAAAUGAGUCCAGGGAAUCAAUGAGCAGCAGCCAUGCCGCCAAGUAAGGAACCAGGAUAACCAAGGUUUAAGGCCCCACUCUUUGCCACAAAUGAACCCUAAACCCUGGCCUAAACAGUCUCCUCUAAGGUUAGUCAAUCUAUGAGUCGAUAACCAGAAUCUUCUCAUUUACGAGGAAUUUACAUCAUUCUAAUAAGGGCUUUUGUUUCAAGACAGCCUGACAGAAAGCGGUAACAUGUGAAUUUAAUUCCAGUCUAAGAAAUUGUACAAGUGUUAGCAUGUAAGUUAAUUACUUUUAAUGCUGAAGACAGAAUUAACUCAUGUAGUAACAUCUGGUGGGCCUCUUUGGUUUCUCAAAUUAGGAUAAUUAGAACUGACAAAGUAUCUUCAUUCCAACUUCUCUUUCUCAUCAGCCCUUGGAUUAUUUGCCAGUUUUGGUUUUGUUUUGCUGCUGUUGUGACAGGGUUUUUGCUUUCAUUUUACUCAACAUCACUCAACUUACUUUAAAGUAUAGCAGCUCUAAUCAUUACCACACUACUAUUCAUAAUAUACAUUUAUAUUAUGCUGAAAAAGUCACAAUAUAAAAGAAGUUUAUGGAAUUUAAAUGGUCGGUACUCAUCAUUAUCAUCAUUAUGUAGUAUCUGUGAAACGAUACAAGUUGAAAGAUAACUUCCUAAAAGACAUGCACUCUAGUGUUUCAAGUUCUUGACAAACAGUAGGCACUCAGUAAGUCAUGUGGCAUAAAAGAAUGAACAAACCAAUCAGCUAGGUACAAUUUUAUGUUACUACAUGUUAGUUAGAACAUUGCCUUUGUUCUAGAAGGUUUUCGUUGCCACUUUAAUGAUAUUUUGUUACAUUUAUUCAAAUGUGUACUUAUCUCCCUUAGAUUGUGUGUCUUUCAUCCUAUUCAUCUUCAAAAAAUUUUAAAGGCUAGGAAAACUCUGAUCUCAUGCUUUAUUCUCAGUAUAGGAUUUCUCAUUCUAUAAUUUUGUAACACUUUUCUUGACCAAUCCUUUAUAACAGAUAUAAUAAGGGCUAGUAUUCACAAGAGUUGAGUACACACUCAAGAUCUUAACAAAUUCAGUUAAUCCUCUGUGCCUAAAUCUCUUCAUCUACAUGUCUAUAACCAUAUAUUUAUUUUCUGUGGUUCAGAGGGUUGUUCUGAAGACCCAGUUAUUUUUUAAUAAAAAGCUAAAUACACUGAUUAAAUUGGAAUUCACCCUAAUGUAUUUCAGGAUUUUAUUCUAUUUGUUUAGUUAAAAAUGACUAAGUAUUUCUAAUACUUUAAAAAAAUACUUAAGACAAAAUUUUUUCUUUACCAUAUUGGAAUAUUUAUGAAGCAAAAAUAUGAUACUGUGCUUGCAUAAAAUCAAAGUGAGAGAAUCCAUCUUUAAAAUCCUAUUUCUAACGUCAUUUGAAUUUCUGAGUACAAAUCUGCCAGGUGAGUAAGGCAAUUAAUGUUUAAACACAUAGUCUAAAUCAAUCAAUUAGGUCACAAUAUUUUUUAAAACCUUUCAGUUUGUCCGUUGUUGUCCAGAAGUGAGGUUAUAUUUUCAUUAGAAUAUUUAUGACCAAUUCUGAUACCGCCACAUGAAGAUUUUCAUGUUUUUAAAUACUAACCAGAGCCCUGCGGCAAAUAUUUGAGAAGAAGGCUUUAAUCAAACUGUAUUGUACCUAAAGCAUAUUUAUAUAACAAUGGUAAUAAUGAGGUAGGAGGCAGGUGGGCUCCAGGAUAGACAUAUGCAACUAGCCUCUUAUUUACACUUCUUGAGGCAGGAAGGGUAUCAGGCCAUAAUAAGUCUAGACAACCUUCCUGCAUGCCUUGCUUUGGAAUCAUCUUGACCAAAAAUUGCAGAUGCAUAUCGAGUUGGGGGGGGGGGUUCUGGUUAGGUGUGUGAAAAAUAAAAGGAGAUAACUGACCAAAGGAAGACAAAGACCCGGAAGAACUGUUCUAAGUCAUUUAAAUCACCUCCAUGGUGUGCUCCUCAUUUAAGGGGACACCCACACCCUCGCUCCUUUGGCUAUUACUGUCUGCUUCUGCCUCUUAUUUGAUAAAUAGACUAAGUCUCUAUAUUUCUGUGCUCUCCCACAUGUUGUACUGUGUUUCUAACAAUAAACUUUAUACUUUCUACCUAUUUUUACAGUUUUUACCAUUUUGAAACAUUGUUUUUAACAGGGAGCAAGAAUUAGGGCAGUUUUGCUUUUAGCCUCUAGCUAGUCUAGUGGGUAGAAUUCUUGGUUUUCAUCCAGGCUAUCUAGGUUCAAUUCCUGAGCAGAGAAUUAAUAUCUCGCUUCAAGCCAUCAUCCACUGCUGUCUCUCCAAAAUCAGUAGCAUCUCACAAACUCAGCAUCAAAUCACAUUUUGUGGGAUUAAGUUUGAAUACAAAUUGAAAGAUCUUCCUGUCUCCUAAUUUCUCUUAAAUAUUUGUUCCUUGUAUUUUUCUUAGAUAUGCUAAUACUGAAAAAUUCCAUAAGCAAUCAUUUAACCUGCAAUGCAUACUGAUUCUAAAAGAUCUAACAUAUAGCACACAUUAAAAAAUUAUAGAAAUGAAUAUAUUUAAAAGCUAAACCGAGAUGACAAUUUCCAUAAUAUAUUAAGUGUAUCAUUUUCCUUCAACAAUAGAGUCUACAAGGUAUAAAUGCACAAAGAACUACCAAUAGUAGCAUUUUGGUGAUAAUUUUAUUGAGAAUAUUUAAAGUUAGCAUUUACUCUGCCUUAGGCAACCCAACAACUGCAGAGGAUAACAAACAUCCUAAUUUCCAAAGCAUUAAUGAAGCAAUUAGCAAAGAGAUGAAUGCAAAUUACAAGCAGUUAUGGGGAAAUGGGAAAUUAAAAGAAGGAAAAUGCAAGCCAUUGUAUACAUGACUGUUUUCCCUACUAAGUACCUUUGAGAAUAACCUGGCUUGCCCAUUAAAGACUGAGUAUCUGUCAAAAUUGUUGUAUAUAAGGUACUUUCAUGCUUUAAACAUGUGUACCAGAUGGUAAAACUCACC